GCGUGAAGUGUCAAACGGAAGAGCACGUUGCUUCGAGAGUUCGUUUAGGCGCGUAGUACUGUGGUCACACGGUGCUCUUUCCUUGACCCAGAUUUUCCGUCCACGAAGGCGCCCAUUUCUAUGAGAAAAAUCGCGGCAAACUAGCGUACUCGAUUAUUUCAAAGUCGUACGGAAAAUAAGUGGAUGGGGGUUAAGGGGGGAGGGGAGGAGGAAUGAAGUAAGAGUAGUAGGAGUCGCAGCAGUCAGUAGUAGUAGUAGUAGUAGUAGUAGUAGUAGUAGUAGUAGUAAGAGGAGGAAGAAGAGGAGGAGGAGAAGGAAGAAAUAACGAAAAUUAGCCGUGGACUUGCGGCGAUAAGGAGCGGAGGAUUCAGCCGGCUCCGGACAUGCGGAGAGAGAGACUGUGGCGCCGAGGCGUAGAAAGACGGCGGGCGCCGGACACAAGAAAGAAAAAUGAGUUAACGAUUGCAUAAGGAAUCGUUGAACAAAUUUAGAACGCGCGUCAUCGGAUGGACCCCAGCGAAACGGCACAUGAGAGGACGUUGAUCGCGGGUGGUGUAUGGAAACGGGCCCAAGGUUACCAAAUGGAGACUGCCCAAAAACCCAAAUACAUACAAUUAUAUCGGACGAUUGGGCACGAGCUAUGUAUAUGUCUAGCAACGAAUCUCCUUUGCUUGCGAAAGGACCAUCCCACUACGAUCACCAUCAUCAGGCAUUAACUUUCGUUACAGUAUACAAGUCUCAAGGUCAUUUUCUUAAAAUUCAUCGUUACGUUAGAUAGAUCAUAUUGAAUGUCGUUAACCAAUAUCGAUUUAAUCGAUCGUGAAUUAAUAUAGGAUCGAUUGACUUUUCGUCCUAUGACAUCGUAGAAAAGUAACAUCCGAAUAUAUCGUGAUGAAUACAUAUAUACAUAUAUAUAUAUAUAUAUGUACAUACUCACUUUAUAUACUUAGGAAUAAAGUGAUCGUAUAAGAAGCAUCGUAGAAGAAAAACUCUAUAGGUUUGUUACAUCAUAGGUAACCUUGGUUCCGGCGUAAACAACUUCUAGAAAGCAAGUUCAAACGCCUGUCAAACUGCUGAACACAUUCUAUAGUACGUGUAUAAAUACCCCAGGAUAUAUCUGAAAGUUCGUUGCCCAGCGACGUUUCGUGUAUUUCUUUCUUUCUAUUUCUUCUGAUUGUUUUUUUCUUUUCCCCCUUUAUUUUUUUUUUUUUUGACUUUUCUCUUGGAAUUAUAAUAUAACAAUAAACGGAAUAAGAAAAUGAAAAUGGUGAAAGAGAUAAUGACGAAGUAAAUAGAUAAUGAUGAAGAAGAACAGAAAGAUCGCUUCCACUUUAAUGAAAAUGAAACGAACGUGAUACGAUACGUAAUGACAAAGAGAAGAAGAAUAAGAAUAAUAAUAAGAAUAAAAAGAAGUAGAAGAAGAAGAAGAAGAAGAAGAAAAAGAAAAAGAGGAAGAAAAAGGAGAAGAUGGAAAAGGUGAAAGAGGUGGAGAUGAUGAUGAUGAUGAUGAUAAUGGUGGUGGAGGUGUAUACGAAGGGAUAACAAAAAAAAAAGAGAUAGAAAAGGAUAGAGAACGUAGUAGUGCGACGCACGUCGUCUUAUCGGAAGCGACGCAGGUGUCCUCCGUUAAGAGAAUACUCAGCGAAAGGCGAAAGGGUUAACGAUCUUCCUCUUUCCGUGUACAAGUACGGGAAUGAGAUAGGACGCGUGCGUUCGCGCGAACGCACGCGCACGCUCCUCUUGUCUUCUCUUUUGCUUUUUCUUUUUCUUCUUCUUCUUCUCCUACUACUACUACUACAACUACUACUACUAUUACUACUAUUAUUAUUACUACUACUACUACUUCUUCUUCUUCUUCUUCUUCUUCUUCUCUUUUUUUCUUCUUUUUCUUUUUCUUUUUCUUCUUCGUCUUCUCUUCGUCGACGUUCCAGGAUGACGAGCUUCUUGCUAAUCGCCGGUGUCGCUGGCCGCGCUCGAGGUCUCCUUGUAAGAUUCCAACGUGUGCGUCACGCGAUUCUACGUCUCUCUUGGAACGUACGACAACGACGACGACGACGACGACGACGACGACGACGACGACGACGACGACGACGAUGAAGACGAUGAAGACGAUGAAGACGAUGAAGACGAUGAAGACGAUGGCAAAUUCGCGCAUAUUUCAAAAGAAAAAGAAAGGAAAGGUGGAUUGCGGAUAGCGAUGGAAAAAGGGAGGGAGACGUGGAGAAUGCCACUCGGGUGAGAAUGGAAAAACGAAGGAGAUCCGAUAUAUAUAUAUAUAGAUAGGGAGAGAGUGAGAGUAAGAGAGAAAACUACGACGACAAGGAACGUGGGAAGAACAGAGAGGAAAUGGUUAUCGAGAAGAAUUCGUCGAGUGGUUCUCCUCUUCGAGGCUUCGGCCAUUCAUAUCGAGCGCACCGGAGAAGAGUCUUUUUCUUUGUCCCUUUUUUCCCUUCUCUUUCUUCUUUUUUUUUUUUUGACCUUUUUCUUUCCUUUUUCUUUUUCUUUUUUUUUGACCUUUUUCUUUCCUCUUUUUUUCUUUUUUUUUUUAUCGCUCCACAAUUCACACAAGCCUCCCCUCACUCUCACUCUCUCUAUCUCUCUCUCUCUCUUCUCCCUCUCUUCCUUCUUCUUCUUCUUCUUUUCCUUCUUGUCUUCUACUUACUGGCACACGGACUUUCACCGAUUUUUUUUUUCAACGAUUCAGCGAAACGCUGAGAUUACAUUCUCUUCUUUAAAAACGAUACGCAUCAUUCUAUUUUUUUAUUACGUAUGCACGUACAGUUUAUGAUUCACUUAUCAAUAAUACGCUUUUAACGUUCGUAAUAUACAAAUUCCACUUUCAAAGUGAUAAAUUUUCAAAGAUAAUAGAGACGCGAGGUCUUUUCAAUGUCGCGCAAAUGGAUGACUAAGAUCGGGAUAUUUUCCCCUUUAUAAUAUGCGAAAUCUGUGUUAUGUUAAACGCGAUUAAUUGGUAUCAUGUUCUAAUAAUAGUUCGAUCGGAAAUGACGUUGUUGAUUCGUUAUAGACUACAUAUAUUCUCGUUUAAUCGAAUUCAAGUUUUAUCCAAUAACAAUAAGAAAAUUAUAUGGAUGUAACUGUAACAUUUUUCUUGUUUUUCUUUUUUUAUAUAUAUAUAUAUAAUAAUUUUCUUCUUUUGUUUCUCUCUCUCUCUCUCUC
Vespa crabro (European hornet) is the source of this 3177-nucleotide long non-coding RNA. RefSeq lists it as uncharacterized. The record is from RefSeq and is a predicted model, not a curated record. The transcript has 3 exons. NCBI's taxonomy places the organism in Eukaryota, Metazoa, Arthropoda, Insecta, Hymenoptera, Vespidae.